UACAGAGGGGGCAAGCGUUGUUCGGAAUUACUGGGCGUAAAGGGCGCGUAGGCGGCCCGCUAAGUCGAACGUGAAAUCCCCGAGCUCAACUCGGGAACUGCGUCCGAUACUGGCGGGCUUGAAUCCGGGAGAGGGGUGCGGAAUUCCAGGUGUAGCGGUGAAAUGCGUAGAUAUCAAGCGGAACACCAGUGGCGAAGGCGAGUCUCUGGACAAUUCCUGACACUGAGGCACGAAAGCCAGGGGAGCAAACGGG
This 253-nucleotide ribosomal RNA is filed under the name uncultured bacterium. RNAcentral describes it as "partial 16S ribosomal RNA". It matches the Rfam family "Bacterial small subunit ribosomal RNA", at positions 524 to 776 of the family's 1533-position model. The record is from RNAcentral.